GCCACACUGGGACUGAGACACGGCCCAGACUCCUACGGGAGGCAGCAGUAGGGAAUCUUCCGCAAUGGACGAAAGUCUGACGGAGCAACGCCGCGUGAGUGAUGAAGGUUUUCGGAUCGUAAAGCUCUGUUGUUAGGGAAGAACAAGUACCGUUCGAAUAGGGCGGUACCUUGACGGUACCUAACCAGAAAGCCACGGCUAACUACGUGCCAGCAGCCGCGGUAAUACGUAGGUGGCAAGCGUUGUCCGGAAUUAUUGGGCGUAAAGGGCUCGCAGGCGGUUUCUUAAGUCUGAUGUGAAAGCCCCCGGCUCAACCGGGGAGGGUCAUUGGAAACUGGGGAACUUGAGUGCAGAAGAGGAGAGUCGAAUUCCACGUGUAGCGGUGAAAUGCGUAGAGAUGUGGAGGAACACCAGUGGCGAAGGCGACUCUCUGGUCUGUAACUGACGCUGAG
This 452-nucleotide ribosomal RNA is filed under the name Bacillus subtilis. RNAcentral describes it as "bacterial SSU rRNA". It matches the Rfam family "Bacterial small subunit ribosomal RNA", at positions 307 to 750 of the family's 1533-position model. The record is from RNAcentral. Lineage: Bacteria; Bacillati; Bacillota; Bacilli; Caryophanales; Bacillaceae.